UACGUAGGCGGAAAAUUAAGUCAGUAGUGAAAUCCUGCAGCUUAACUGUAGAACUGUUAUUGAUACUGGUUUUCUUGAAUAUAGUUGAGGUAAGCGGAAUGUGUAAUGUAGCGGUGAAAUGCUUAGAUAUUACACAGAACACCGAUUGCGAAGGCAGCUUACUAAGCUAUGAUUGACGCUGAGGUACGAAAGCGUGGGGAGCGAACAGGAUUAGAUACCCUGGUAGUCC
Molecule: ribosomal RNA, 229 nt
Filed under: uncultured bacterium
Lineage: Bacteria
Description: partial 16S ribosomal RNA
Rfam family: Bacterial small subunit ribosomal RNA
Source: RNAcentral